AGUUUGGCUCAGACUAAAAGAUAAACUUUAUUGAUCCGCAAGGGGAAUUGUUUGGACACCGUGAAGCAGACAUCUGGGUUCCUCAGAGGAGCUGGAGGAAGUGUCUGUGGAGAGGGAAGUCUUGGAGUCCCUGCUCAGACUGAUGCCCCCAUGACCCGACCCCAGCCCCUCCCUGAACAGUCACCUUCUCGUGGUGGAGGGUUUGAGGGCCCGAAUGAUCCCGGGAGCUGUGUUUUUGGGGGCUUCACGCUCCUGGUCAUCAAAG
Molecule: long non-coding RNA, 265 nt
Organism: Boleophthalmus pectinirostris (great blue-spotted mudskipper)
Lineage: Eukaryota; Metazoa; Chordata; Actinopteri; Gobiiformes; Gobiidae
Exons: 3
Source: RefSeq, a predicted model, not a curated record